CAGAGAAUAGUUUAAUUUAAAAUUUUAAUUUUGGAGAUUAAGGAUAAGUGUUUCUUUUCUCUGA
This 64-nucleotide transfer RNA is filed under the name Tyraphus nitidus. RNAcentral describes it as "tRNA-Pro". Lineage: Eukaryota; Metazoa; Arthropoda; Insecta; Coleoptera; Staphylinidae. The record is from RNAcentral.